GGGUAGCCGGCCUGAGAGGGCGACCGGCCACACUGGGACUGAGACACGGCCCAGACUCCUACGGGAGGCAGCAGUGGGGAAUAUUGCACAAUGGGCGAAAGCCUGAUGCAGCGACGCCGCGUGAGGGAUGACGGCCUUCGGGUUGUAAACCUCUUUCAGCAGGGAAGAAGCGAAAGUGACGGUACCUGCAGAAGAAGCGCCGGCUAACUACGUGCCAGCAGCCGCGGUAAUACGUAGGGCGCAAGCGUUGUCCGGAAUUAUUGGGCGUAAAGAGCUCGUAGGCGGCUUGUCACGUCGGAUGUGAAAGCCCGGGGCUUAACCCCGGGUCUGCAUUCGAUACGGGCUAGCUAGAGUGUGGUAGGGGAGAUCGGAAUUCCUGGUGUAGCGGUGAAAUGCGCAGAUAUCAGGAGGAACACCGGUGGCGAAGGCGGAUCUCUGGGCCAUUACUGACGCUGAGGAGCGAAAGCGUGGGGAGCGAACAGGAUUAGAUACCCUGGUAGUCCACGCCGUAAACGUUGGGAACUAGGUGUUGGCGACAUUCCACGUCGUCGGUGCCGCAGCUAACGCAUUAAGUUCCCCGCCUGGGGGNAGUACGGA
RNAcentral lists this ribosomal RNA (597 nucleotides) under Streptomyces sp. BJ03. RNAcentral's name for it is "bacterial SSU rRNA". It matches the Rfam family "Bacterial small subunit ribosomal RNA", at positions 281 to 886 of the family's 1533-position model. The record is from RNAcentral. Lineage: Bacteria; Bacillati; Actinomycetota; Actinomycetes; Kitasatosporales; Streptomycetaceae.